ACGACAUAAUAUUUAUGGUAUUUUUAAUGUUGUGUUUCUGUCUCAAAAGUUGCAAGCAAUUUGGGGACGGAGUCGCUUCUGACCAGACUCAAGACCCGGUUCCAGACCACGUGGUGGCGCCUGACAAGGGGAAGGGAGACUCGGGUCCAGACCAUGAAGAAAUCCAGCUCAGGAUAUGGAGGCGGCACGUGCGGUGGGGACGAGGACAAGACACCACGCAGGGAGAAGCUGCAGAAGAGAGUGCAGAGAUUCAUCUCCCGGGUGUUCAUUUGUGGAGGACUAUCACAGGCCUAGACACCAUCGGUGUCAGGCCCAGACACAGUGCAUGUGUCUGUCAGGCCCAGACACAGUGUUUGUGU
Molecule: long non-coding RNA, 359 nt
Organism: Haliotis rubra (blacklip abalone)
Lineage: Eukaryota; Metazoa; Mollusca; Gastropoda; Lepetellida; Haliotidae
Exons: 3
Source: RefSeq, a predicted model, not a curated record